Molecule: ribosomal RNA, 889 nt
Filed under: uncultured bacterium
Lineage: Bacteria
Description: bacterial SSU rRNA
Rfam family: Bacterial small subunit ribosomal RNA
Source: RNAcentral
AGAGUUUGAUCAUGGCUCAGGACGAACGCUGGCGGCGUGCUUAACACAUGCAAGUCGAGCGGAAAGGCCCUUCGGGGUACUCGAGCGGCGAACGGGUGAGUAACACGUGAGUAACCUGCCCUUGGCUUUGGGAUAACCCUCGGAAACGGGGGCUAAUACCGGAUAUUCCCGCGGGAUCGCAUGGUUUUGUGGGGAAAGUUUUUCGGCUAGGGAUGGGCUCGCGGCCUAUCAGCUUGUUGGUGGGGUGAUGGCCUACCAAGGCGACGACGGGUAGCCGGCCUGAGAGGGCGACCGGCCACACUGGGACUGAGACACGGCCCAGACUCCUACGGGAGGCAGCAGUGGGAAUAUUGCACAAUGGGCGGAAGCCUGAUGCAGCGACGCCGCGUGAGGGAUGACGGCCUUCGGGUUGUAAACCUCUUUCAGCAGGGACGAAGCGUAAGUGACGGUACCUGCAGAAGAAGCGCCGGCCAACUACGUGCCAGCAGCCGCGGUAAGACGUAGGGCGCGAGCGUUGUCCGGAUUUAUUGGGCGUAAAGAGCUCGUAGGCGGCUUGUCGCGUCGACUGUGAAAUCCCGUGGCUCAACUGCGGGUCUGCAGUCGAUACGGGCAGGCUAGAGUUCGGUAGGGGAGACUGGAAUUCCUGGUGUAGCGGUGAAAUGCGCAGAUAUCAGGAGGAACACCGGUGGCGAAGGCGGGUCUCUGGGCCGAUACUGACGCUGAGGAGCGAAAGCGUGGGGAGCGAACAGGAUUAGAUACCCUGGUAGUCCACGCUGUAAACGUUGGGCGCUAGGUGUGGGGGGCCUCUCCGGUUCUCUGUGCCGCAGCUAACGCAUUAAGCGCCCCGCCUGGGGAGUACGGCCGCAAGGCUAAACUCAAGGAAUGACGG